This is an RNA transcript of Dermacentor silvarum, 5932 nucleotides long. It is a transcript of the gene named RILP-like protein homolog, with no coding region annotated. The transcript has 8 exons. The record is from RefSeq and is a predicted model, not a curated record. Lineage: Eukaryota; Metazoa; Arthropoda; Arachnida; Ixodida; Ixodidae.
UCUCUCUCUCUCACUCUCAGUCAGUAUGGCCGUGCGUGACGGUCUAGUCGCGUUACGUUGGUGGGCUCUUUGUAAUUGUGUUUAGCUUCGUGCCGUCGACGCGAUUAAUUAAUCGAAUCGUGAGCCAGAAGAAAAUUGUGUGACGCCAUGGAGCGCGCGUCGGAGGCGCUCAGUGUCAACGACGUCUACAGCCUCGCCGAGGAGAUCGGGAAAGAGUUCGAAAUCCUCAUUGACAACUACGGCGUCGAGCCCGUGAACAAGCUGGUCACUAAAGUGAUUCGCGUGUUGGAGUACCUCGAAGCGUACGCCACCAAGAAUGACAUCGCUCGCGAUGAGAUCGCCGAGCUCAGGGCCCAGAUCUACCAGCUCGAGCACGACAAGUAUGAGAAGGCGGAGUCGAGAAGCAAGCUCGAAAAGGAGAUGGAGCAGUAUGAAGACAUCUGGCGGCAAGAAAUGAAAGAUCUGGGUGGCCUUGUGGCACGGCUGCAGGAGGAAAACUCCAAACUGAGCAGCUCCCUCAAAGAGAGAGAGAGUCACCCCUCCUUGCAGUGCGAGCCACACAGUGUGACACUAGGGGAGGACAUCGUCGUCCUUGAACGGCUCCGGGAUGCCUUCGACAAGCAGGGAGUCCAACUGAGACAUUAUGAAAGGGACAUGGCUAAAAAAGCUGCCGACAUAGAAUCUCUUCAGCAGCAGCUGGAAGCCAGCAAGAAGACAGCCCAAGAGCAGAGCCGACGCAACCGGCGGCUGCAGCAGCAGAUGCGGCAGCUGUGCGAGGAGCGCGGCGACCUGCAAGUGCAGUUGCAGGACCAGCAGAGCCAGCUCCAGACCUUGCAGGAGCGGCUAGGCAUUGCCGUCAAAGACCACGACGACCUUCUCCAGUCCAGGGACACGGUCUUGGAUAUGCAAGGAAAAGUGGUGAUUGACUUGGAUGACCCGAACCGACCACGCUUCACACUGGAGGAGCUCAAGCACAUCUUGUUUGAGAGGAAUGAGCUCAAGGCUCGAGUUAGUGAUCUCGAAGACGAGCUGGCUCUAUACAGGCCAAGGUGGUGGGCUCAUGAGGCAACCUCGCUUCUGACCAGGCCGGUUGACCCACCAUUGCCGGUCAGGGACGAAGACCGGCCCGUCCAGGGACCCAUCAACCAGGAGCCUGAGGAGAAGCUUUUUUCUUACGGAAAGGCCUCCGGCAUUCGCAAAUUGUUCCGGGUCAUUAAUAAGGUUAGAGGAUGAGUUUGCUGCCGUAUCUUGGACCUUGAAGGAAGGCAGCUCGCAGCAGUCAUCCCCCCUUGACUGUUUUCCAAGUGUCCUGUGGCCCCGCGUCAAGCCAGGAUGAGAGGCCUCGUAUGCUGUCUCCUGCGGGGCCUGCUCUCUCACGGUGGCCUCUCGCUGGAGUUCUUUGUCGACAUCGCACCGCUUUUUGAACUGCACAUGGCCUUGUCUUCGGACUCCGGACUAUUACUGUGAAGCCGUGCUUUCAUUGCUCACAAGUGCAGCAAGGAUGGAAAGUGAUGCGCCCACCCCUUCCCUUGGGGACGUGUGUCAUUGCCACUGCAGCCCAAUGGCAUUGUGUGUGUGUAUUACCCUUUGAACGUGCCAAGCUAGGAAAGCGGCAGGUUGCAGAAGUGACAGCGAGUUCUCAAAUUAAAUUAAAACGUCACUCAUGAUUAGUGGUCAGUGCUAAAUGUGGCUUCACUGUUUUAGGGAGGUCCAUCUCGAACUGCAGCUAAAGUUUAAAAGCAGCAACCACAUGGAACAUCCUUUGAUGUAUUUUCUAUGCAUUGUUGCCAUGCAUAUUUUGUGACGCACAAAGCUCCCGCUGUAGUCGCGGCUGAGGUGCAUUCAAUGUGGUUGCUUAAUUGAGUUAAGCGUAGCACCAUUCAGCCACGAUUACAGCGUGGGCAAUGUGUUGUGAAAUAGAAAUGGCAAUAUCAUGACUGGGGAAAACACGGGGAAUGCGGGAGGUGGAAAUUCAAGACAAUGCGCAACACAAGAACAAGGUGAGAGCAGGAGCCAACCUUUCGACAAGUGGACUUGUCUUCUUCCAAGGCAACAUAUGCUCUCCUCGGCACAGUAUAUAUAGGUAGGGUUCUUCUAAAGGGGAGAGAAGGUAAGGCGGGUGGGUGAGGUAAUGAGCGAGGGUGUAGAAUUGAAAAGAAAGAUAAUGCGCUACUGAUCGUCGGUGGACGAAUUUGAGGCGGCGCGGUGUGUUAGCCGGUUGACGUGUCAUUGUAGGUCCCUUUCACGAAAAUUCACUGACCUCCAGUGAAGCAGAUACCGCUCCCCCCUCCCCUCCCCGUCAUCCAGGCCCCUUCCAUGAAAAGAAGAACCUACAAUGACACGUCAACCGGCUAACUCACGGAGCUGCCUCAAAUUCCUCCACCGACUAUCAGUAGUGCAUUAUCUUUCCUCUCAGUUCUACACCCUUGCCACUAACACACUCUUGCUGGUUACCUCACCCACCCGCCUUACCUUCUCUCCCCUUUAGAAGAACCCUACCUAUAUAUACUGUGCCGAGGACAGCAUAUGUCACCUUGAAGAAGACAAGUCCACUUAUUGAAAUGUUGGCUCCUGCUCUCACCUUGUCCUCGUUUUGCUCAAUAUCAUGACUGAAAACACAGUCAAAGCAUGUUCUAUGUGUUUACUUUUAAAGGUGUGUGCAUUCAAGUACACUUUUACAAUUCUGCAGCAGGUACCAAAAUCUUGUGCAUGUAGUAAUGCAAACUAGGCACUGCACACAUGUGCACAAUGUUCAUGCACAUGACUUUGGCUGCAGUUUAAUAGACCGAAUGCAGAGUUCGCAACUUGUGUUGUAUAGCUUUUUUUUUUCCUUGUAGUUUUUGAAAGUUCAUGUUAUGUGUAAAUUUGUUUUAUUUAUUUUAAUGUAUUUUGAUGGUAUCACCGUUUUCAGUUUUAAUGCAUUUUAGCUGCAGCCUUACUGAUUUGAGUUUUACUUGCAUUGCAUUACACACUGCUUCUUUAUUAAUGAAGUCCGAGGCACUGAAAAAAUGACCCUAGCUAGAGAGAUCUUGGUAAAAUAGAUCUAAUCUGUUGUCACUACUUACGAAUACAAUUGUUAAACGUUCUGAGUAGAUAAUUUCGCUUUCGUCUGAUAGAGAAAUAGCUGUAGGACUGUGUUUCAUGAGAUGCACAUCUUGCAGCAAUGUCAUUUUUUUGUGUGUCCUAUAGCACAGAUCAUUUCCCUUCUAUUAGUUAAUUGCUGUUCAUAAGGUGCAAUCUUGAUACGCUUUUGAAGCUGUCAAUAUUUUACACAGACAUGCAGGCAUUGUUAAUGAUAAGGCUGGCACUACCUUAUGAUUAGGACAUCGAGCAAAGAGCCUUUGCGCUAGGACAUGCUGCUUCAAAAGUGCACUUUAGUUGUUUAGUAAUCAAAAUGUCCUUUCGUGCACAAUGUGGCAGUCUGGAAAAGGCUCACUAGGUUGCCAUGCCAAUAACAUUGUAAGACAAAGUGCGCUGACUUAGUAAUAGCAAUGUGUUUGUGUAAGAAUAGGUUUGAAGUCUUUUCAUUUGUCCCUUUUUAUGCGUUCACUUCAUUUGAGACAUUUAAUGCUGCUGUACAUAUGUGAAUAAAACAAAUUAACAUAGUGUAAGACUUAGUCGUGUAUAUUUAAGAUGCAGGGUUGAGCUGCACAUACAACUUUUUUGCUUUCCUGGUUUUACUAAACAAACCAUUUGUUGAACCAUUCUGCAUGUCUAUGAAAUAAACCCAUACGCUGUCGUUAGUAAGGCUGGAUUGUAGCAGCACCAUGUUUUCGUGCAUGGCUGCCACUGUCUGAAAAGCAGCUGUCUUAAGCACUGUGAGAGAGUACUAUAUAUAAACACAAAAUCUUGACUGAAAUAACUUUUCUGCGAGUUCAACAAAUUUUCAGUUCUGAAAUUGAUUAACUUUGUUAACGAGAUUGUGCGGUCAAGAGUUUGUUGGUCAGAGACACUAGGAUUGCUUAAAGGGAAAAGUUUGUGUUACAAUGGCUUGGAGGCGUGCAUGCUUACCUCGUGAAUAUGUAUGUGUACAACUGUUAACACUGUCUUAUGAUUUUAUACAUGUAUAAGAGAAGCUUGACACGCGAGCAAAUUUGCAUGUGGCUGUGUAUAAUGGCUUGAAAGCAGAUGAGCUUUACCAGUCUUCCCUCGCCUCAGCCAAGCAAGCACAAUCGUAUCAAGAGGAAUGACUGUUUAGCAGCACAUCAUUCACAUUUUCCAAAACAAUGUAAACAUUAAUUUUUGUUGAUCGCCUGCAGUCUUCAUAUCACUAGCUUUUUACAUUGUAUACUGUAACUUACGUGGCACUCUGCAUCCCAGCAUUUUUAUUCAGAUAGAACUUGAAAUAUGAAAUUUGAGUUUGAACGAGUAGAGUCGUGCAAACUUUGUCAACAUGAAGUGUGUUAUUUUUAUAUAAUAAUUUGUUGCGCCAAAUUUUGAUUCAAUUUCUUGGAAACUGCACUCUUAUUCUGUAGCCUUUCUAGUAAAUUGGAGUGCUGCAAGUAAUUGCUACUACCACUAGUUGGCAUUCACUAUCGCAGUACCUCCCAUAAUAACGAGUGUCCUAAAACUGUUGUCACAGUCGAAUGACGAAAUGCUGCUGUUCAAAACUGCACUGACAGCGUGAUGGCUUGUUAACGAGUUACAGAAAUUCUCUGGAAGCACAUUGUGCCCUUUAUGUAGCACAUAGACAUUGUCCAUUGGCAAAAUGCUGAGACAAAUGCUGUCUGCAACACUUCGUGUAUAAAACCCCUUUUUCUGUCAACCAGUCAUCGGCAUGCGCAAACGUGUGCACAUUCCAUGUAUAACAGAUCUACUGUUGAAGCUACUACUUGUCAUGUUGCUGUGAUGAUGUCACCAAAGAAAUAUGUUCACACCACUGUUGAAAUGUGUGCUACAUGUUUUAAGAGAGCUGUUAAUAUUGCAAUGCUUCAGCUUGACACGUGCUGUUAUGGCAGAUAGUGAGCCUAGUCUGAGAAUGUUUGGUGAUGGGACACAAGGCGCCUCACACAGUUGCACAUUAUUUUUUGGCUAAUAACUGUAAGAAAGGUGUCCCAGCACAAGUUUUGCCCUGAUGAACCACGGCUGGCUAGAUGCAUGGCAGGCAUGUUUAGAAAUUAAGUCUAUUGAAGUGAUGGACUAGAAAGCCAUCACUUCAAUGAAACUCACUUCAAGCUUUGAUGAAAGCUUGUGUGGUAGCAAUUAAUCAUAGUCGGAGGUAAAAUAGAUGCCAACUAACACAAAACGGCAGUCGAAAUGUUUUUUUUUUUUUUUCUUUUUGUAGUCUGCAUCGAUUUCACCUUUGACUACAUUUCCAAUUGCUUGUCAGGGUAUAGGCUGUGCCAUUUGUGCUGGUACACUAGGGAAAUGGCUGGCCACCAAGAACAGAUGUGUGCAAGCCUAUGUUGCUUCUGCACAUUAUGUACGACUGCUGGUGCAGAGUUCGAGAUAGUAAUAGCACCUUAGUCUCAAGUGUUUGCAGAAAUUUGCUGGCAUCUUCUCAAGACAGAACUGUCAUGUGCCAAUGUGUGUGGGGAGCCUGUAGUUACAAUGGACCCCAAGACACCGCAGUGCCAGAAAUGUUCUUCACUUAUCACACUAGUUAACAAGUAGAGGCACAUGUAUAAUUGGAACAUUUUUUUACCUUUAUAUUAAUGAACUGCCAUUGAAGGCAGUUCACCACUUUUGACUACACCUUAUUGCAGGUGCACCCUUGAGUGCAGGUCUUACUAAUAUGGUAGACAUUUGCUAAGCUAUAGCACACCUGUUAAUGUAGUGCUAAGAUAAUCAUUCUACUUAAUCAACGUCACCCUCAUUGGACUUUUAGAGAUUUAGUAGAAAAGGCAAGCUUUUGCAUUGUCUGUUUAAGAGCAGGAGCUGAAACAGCCGAUUGCAUGUAUUGGCGUAUGGCUCAAUGUCUUCAAUAAAAAUU